This 1669-nucleotide unclassified non-coding RNA is filed under the name Leishmania donovani. RNAcentral describes it as "gene:LdHU3.26.3450(CDS-product:CSL_zinc_finger_co ntaining_protein_putative)". Lineage: Eukaryota; Euglenozoa; Kinetoplastea; Trypanosomatida; Trypanosomatidae. The record is from RNAcentral.
GCCGGCCUCUUCGCUUUUCUCACGCCCCUCUCCCGCUCCUGCAUCGAUCGCAGUGCCUUUGGUUUCCUGUGCUUUUUCCGAGCCUUGCGUGCACACCUUCUGCCCUGCCGGUGCCGGUCGCGGAAUGGAGGAGUUUCACUACGAAGAAGUCCAGUUGUCGGAGAUGACGCUGGAGGACGGCGUGUUGCGCUUCCCUUGCCCCUGCGGCGAUUUGUUCGAGCUCCUUCUGGAAGAUUUCAUCAGUGGCAGCGAUGUGGCGCAGUGCCCCACCUGCUCUCUCACAAUCAAGGUGCUCUUCACCAAGGAAGAGAAGAACCACUUCCUGGCGCUAAACACCGUCGGUGCUGUUUGUGCUGCUGCGGCGUAGUGGCUGCGCACUCCUCAGCCACGCUGCCCCGCUUUUCCAAUAGCCGCUCUCUCGAUUUUGUUGUGCUGCUGCUUGCUUCUCAUGGUUUCCGACCGCUUUUUCACGCCGCUCUUAGCUCAUCAUGCACGGCUUCGGCGCUUGCGGACAUCUGGGGUGAUGGCGCCUCCGCGUGCCAGCGUUGAACCGGUGCUGCCGCUGGGACACUACGUCACCGUUCUUGUCGUUUGUUCCUCUUUCUCACCUUUCUUUAAACGCUCAGCUUGUCGAGCUUCGACCUUGCUCUCGCCCUCUCGGUUUUGUGCGUAUUCUCGUGUGCGCCUAGGUGCUUGGGCGGCGCUUGCUGUGAUUUGCACGCCUCACUGGAGCCGAUGCUGGCGCGCUCACGGUGACGCGUGCGCGUGCGUGAGCUCGGGAGGGGGUCGACGAAAACGCAGUUGCUGCCUACCUGAGUGUACUUGGCUGCAGGUGCGAGGCCACCGUGCUCACUGCUUUUCUUCGAAUUACGCCGGAAGUGCCCACGCGUGAAGCAGACCUAUUUUGCUUGCCCCCUCUUUUCAGUCCUCCUAUAUGUGCGACGACGCUAAAGUGUUGCGGUGCUCGUUUCUUCUGUCUAGUGUCCGAUACCUUGUUUUGGCUGUUGUGUGACCUUUUCCUUUUUUUUGCCACGUUGGGUGCUGCCACGUGUAAAGUGUGCGUAUAACAGCGCCAACACCCGCCACGACGUUCUCUCCUGCUUCCCGGGGACAGGAGCGAGGCUAAUAGGGAGAGGACGGGGCGGCGCCUUUCUCUAACCGUAAAGCUCAAGACAUGCAGACGAGAAGGAGUCGCCCACCUCUCUCCGCGGACGCCCGCCCAUGUUCACUCUGCUCUGUGCCCCGCAUGCGUCUGUGACGCUGUCAGCGGCGGUGCGGCGCCAGUGGACUGCUCUGGUGCUGCUAGUAUGUGCAGCGAGGACACCGCAGCGAACCACAGCACAGACGGGAGCUUACCCGUCAUACGGUGCGCGCGCUCUUGGUUCGCCCCCCUCACCCACGUAACUCUCAAGCAGCGGUGUUGUGUGCGCAUGCGUUGCCGCGACGCUUCUCGCGCGUUGCGAUUUUUUGAUGCACGCUUCCCGGAUUCGGCUUCUCGUCCUUCUCCCCUCCGCCGCUUCGCCGUUACGCGCAGCUGGCGCGUCGGGCUGAAGGACGUGCGGAGCGGGGUGAUAGGAGUGGCCGUGCGUGCCUAUCAUCUUCCCUCCUCUACAGUAGAGCAUGCUUUCCUUUUCUUCACAUGACGCCUACUCUCGUGCCGUAUGGCCAG